This 185-nucleotide unclassified non-coding RNA is filed under the name uncultured fungus. RNAcentral describes it as "sequence contains ITS1". Lineage: Eukaryota; Fungi. The record is from RNAcentral.
CCGGGUCGGCGACUGCCCGAACCAAACCGUGCAUCAUAUCGUACUUUUUUCGUUUCGCUACGGCGGGUCGCUCGCUGGGGGAGCUGCUGGCCGGGAGGCCGGCCCGUCGAGGCGUCGUUUAGAACAACGCUGAAAGAGAACUUCGGAAGGUGCUACCGCGGCCUCAGGGCUCGGAAAAACCGUCA